GGUCCGGAACCUUUGAAUACUGCUCAGGUAACCUGGGGACUGUUUUCACCUGAACACCCUGGAGAGAAGAACAGCGAGGUCGGGACGCUUCUAUCAGCUGUGAAGGUAACACGAAGGCGCCAAGGUCAUCUGCUCUGCUUUCGUUCGCGGCCCCGCUCACUGCAGCGUGCUCAAAGUUGAGCUGCUGCCCCUCAUUUGCCAAACUU
Molecule: long non-coding RNA, 206 nt
Organism: Larimichthys crocea (large yellow croaker)
Lineage: Eukaryota; Metazoa; Chordata; Actinopteri; Sciaenidae
Exons: 3
Source: RefSeq, a predicted model, not a curated record